Molecule: transfer RNA, 73 nt
Filed under: Staphylococcus aureus
Lineage: Bacteria; Bacillati; Bacillota; Bacilli; Caryophanales; Staphylococcaceae
Also listed under: 1 other name
Description: tRNA-Lys
Rfam family: tRNA (bases 5-62)
About the family: Transfer RNA (tRNA) molecules are approximately 80 nucleotides in length.
Source: RNAcentral
GGCCUAGCUCAAUUGGUAGAGCAUCUGACUUUUAAUCAGAGGGUCAGAGGUUCGAAUCCUCUAUGGCUCACCA